UCAGGAUGAACGCUAGCGGCGCGCUUAAUGCAUGCAAGUCGAGCGAUGAGGUCUCCUUCGGGGGACACAUCAGCGGCAGACGGGUGAGUAACACGUAGGUAACCUACCCCAGAGACAGGGAUAACCCUAGGAAACGAGGGCUAAUACCGGAUGACCUCCGGAAGGAGGAAAGGCUCAGGCGCUCUGGGAGGGGCUUGCGGCCCAUCAGCUAGUUGGUAGGGUAAAGGCCUACCAAGGCGAAGACGGGUAGGGGGUGUGAGAGCACGGCCCCCCACAAUGGGACUGAAACACGGCCCAUACUCCUACGGGAGGCAGCAGCAGGGAAUAUUGCACAAUAGGCGAAAGCCUGAUGCAGCGACGCCGCGUGAGUGAAGAAGGCCCUUCGGGUCGUAAAGCUCUUUUGUAGGGGAAGAGGAAGGACGGUACCCUUAAGAAAGAAGCGUCGGCUAACUACGUGCCAGCAGCCGCGGUAAGACGUAGGACGCGAGCGUUAUCCGGAAUUACUGGGCGUAAAGGGCCAGCAGGCGGCUUGGUAAGUUGUGCGUGAAAGCCUCGUGCUCAAAGCGAGGAAGCCGGACAAUACUGUCAAGCUAGAGGGCAUCAGAAGGGGAGUGGAAUUCCCGGAAGUAGCGGUAUAAUGCGCACGAUAUCGGGAGGACACACGAUGGCGAAAGGCAGCUUCCUGGGAAGCAACUGAAGCUUAGAGGCGAAAGCUAGGGGGAGCGAACAGGAUUAGAGAACCUGGUAGUCCUAGCCGUAAACGCUGGGUGCUAAGGUGUGGGACGUAGAAGUUCCCGUGCCGGAACAAACGCGAUAAGCACCCCGCCUGGGAAUUACCGGUCGCAAGGCUAAAACUCAAACGAAUUGACGGGCCCCGCACAAGCAGCGGAGCGUGUGGUUC
This 901-nucleotide ribosomal RNA is filed under the name uncultured organism. RNAcentral describes it as "bacterial SSU rRNA". It matches the Rfam family "Bacterial small subunit ribosomal RNA", at positions 24 to 947 of the family's 1533-position model. The record is from RNAcentral.